This 498-nucleotide ribosomal RNA is filed under the name uncultured bacterium. Its description in RNAcentral is "partial 16S ribosomal RNA". It matches the Rfam family "Bacterial small subunit ribosomal RNA", at positions 30 to 523 of the family's 1533-position model. The record is from RNAcentral.
AUUAAACGCUGGCGGCAUGCCUUACACAUGCAAGUCGAACGGUAACAGGUCUUCGGAUGCUGACGAGUGGCGAACGGGUGAGUAAUACAUCGGAACGUGCCUAGUAGUGGGGGAUAACUACUCGAAAGAGUGGCUAAUACCGCAUGAGAUCUACGGAUGAAAGCAGGGGAUCGCAAGACCUUGUGCUACUAGAGCGGCCGAUGGCAGAUUAGGUAGUUGGUGGGAUAAAAGCUUACCAAGCCGACGAUCUGUAGCUGGUCUGAGAGGACGAUCCGCCACACUGGGACUGAGACACGGCCCAGACUCCUACGGGAGGCAGCAGUGGGGAAUUUUGGACAAUGGGCGAAAGCCUGAUCCAGCAAUGCCGCGUGCAGGAUGAAGGCCUUCGGGUUGUAAACUGCUUUUAUACGGAACGAAAAGCCCCGGGUUAAUACCCUGGGGUCAUGACGGUACCGUAAGAAUAAGCACCGGCUAACUACGUGCCAGCCGCCGCAGUAA